UAGGGAAUCUUCGGCAAUGGACGGAAGUCUGACCGAGCAACGCCGCGUGAGUGAAGAAGGUUUUCGGAUCGUAAAGCUCUGUUGUAAGAGAAGAACGAGUGUGAGAGUGGAAAGUUCACACUGUGACGGUAUCUUACCAGAAAGGGACGGCUAACUACGUGCCAGCAGCCGCGGUAAUACGUAGGUCCCGAGCGUUGUUCGGAUUUAUUGGGCGUAAAGCGAGCGCAGGCGGUUAGAUAAGUCUGAAGUUAAAGGCUGUGGCUUAACCAUAGUAGGCUUUGGAAACUGUUUAACUUGAGUGCAAGAGGGGAGAGUGGAAUUCCAUGUGUAGCGGUGAAAUGCGUAGAUAUAUGGAGGAACACCGGUGGCGAAAGCGGCUCUCUGGCUUGUAACUGACGCUGAGGCUCGAAAGCGUGGGGAGCAAACAGGAUUAGAUACCCUGGUAGUCCACGCUGUAAACGAUGAGUGCUAGGUGUUAGACCCUUUCCGGGGUUUAGUGCCGUAGCUAACGCAUUAAGCACUCCGCCUGGGGAGUACGACCGCAAGGUUG
RNAcentral lists this ribosomal RNA (550 nucleotides) under uncultured bacterium. RNAcentral describes it as "bacterial SSU rRNA". It matches the Rfam family "Bacterial small subunit ribosomal RNA", at positions 355 to 896 of the family's 1533-position model. The record is from RNAcentral.